AACGAACGCUGGCGGCAGGCCUAACACAUGCAAGUCGAGCGGACAUCUUCUGAUGUUAGCGGCGGACGGGUGCGUAACGCGUGGGAACGUGCCCUUUGCUUCGGAAUAGCCUCGGGAAACUGGGAGUAAUACCGGAUGUACCCUUUGGGGGAAAGAUUUAUCGGCAAAGGAUCGGCCCGCGUUGGAUUAGGUAGUUGGUGGGGUAAUGGCCUACCAAGCCGACGAUCCAUAGCUGGUUUGAGAGGAUGAUCAGCCACACUGGGACUGAGACACGGCCCAGACUCCUACGGGAGGCAGCAGUGGGGAAUCUUAGACAAUGGGGGAAACCCUGAUCUAGCCAUGCCGCGUGAGCGAUGAAGGCCUUAGGGUUGUAAAGCUCUUUCACCGGGGAAGAUAAUGACGGUACCCGGAGAAGAAGCCCCGGCUAACUCCGUG
This 435-nucleotide ribosomal RNA is filed under the name uncultured bacterium. Its description in RNAcentral is "partial 16S ribosomal RNA". It matches the Rfam family "Bacterial small subunit ribosomal RNA", at positions 29 to 507 of the family's 1533-position model. The record is from RNAcentral.